CGCUCCUCGUCGUUAUACAUGUGGAGUCGUACCUGCUCAGUGAAUAAUUUCAACAGCCGCGGUACUCUGACCGUGCAAAGGUAGCAUAAUCAUUUGCCUUAUAAUUGAAGGCUAGUAUGAAUGGUUUGACGAGAAUUAAGCUGUCUCUUUUCAACUAAAUAUAACUUUAUUUACAGGUGAAGAAGCCUGUAUUAUAUUGAAAGACAAGAAGACCCUAUCGAGCUUUAAAUAAUUUAAUAAGUUAACUAUAUAUUAAUAGAAAAAUUAAAUUAUUAAGGAUUUUAGUUGGGGCGACUGAGGAACAAACAAAGCUUCCUUAUUAACACGGAAACACACAGGUAUUGAUCCAAUAUUUUUGAUUAAGGGAAUUAGUUACCGUAGGGAUAACAGCAUAAUCCUCUUUGAGAGCUCUCAUCGAAAAGGGGGUUUGUGACCUCGAUGUUGGACCAGAAUAUCCGGAAGAUGCAGCCGUCUUCAAUGGUUGGUCUGUUCGACCAUUAAAAUUCUACGUGAUCUGAGUUCAGACCGGCGUGAGCCAGGUCAGUUUCUAUCUUCAAUUAUUAAAAUGACUUUAGUACGAAAGGACCAAGUUAUUACACUAAGUUGUUACGAAUAGAUUAAAUAUAAAGAGUUAUUAAAUUAUUAAGUAAAUCAAAUUAGCAAAGAUAAAUGCAAUUGACUUAGGAUCAAUAGACAUAGGUGAAAUCCCUUUAUUUGAUAAAAACAUGUCUACAUAAAGAUGGCAGAAAAA
This 751-nucleotide ribosomal RNA is filed under the name Mancinella alouina. RNAcentral's name for it is "partial 16S ribosomal RNA". The stretch from base 1 to 578 matches the Rfam family "Bacterial large subunit ribosomal RNA", at positions 1816 to 2925 of the family's 2925-position model. Lineage: Eukaryota; Metazoa; Mollusca; Gastropoda; Neogastropoda; Muricidae. The record is from RNAcentral.